GAAGAUGGUCAUACUAAUCUGCUAACUUAGUACUACAGCUUGACACGCUGACAUCCUC
Molecule: transfer RNA, 58 nt
Filed under: Paroedura picta
Lineage: Eukaryota; Metazoa; Chordata; Lepidosauria; Squamata; Gekkonidae
Description: tRNA-Ser
Source: RNAcentral